RNAcentral lists this ribosomal RNA (497 nucleotides) under Metabacillus indicus. RNAcentral's name for it is "bacterial SSU rRNA". It matches the Rfam family "Bacterial small subunit ribosomal RNA", at positions 37 to 524 of the family's 1533-position model. The record is from RNAcentral. Lineage: Bacteria; Bacillati; Bacillota; Bacilli; Caryophanales; Bacillaceae.
UAGGGCAUGGCGGGCGUGCUAUACAUGCAGUCGAGCGGACCUCUUCGGAGGUCAGCGGCGGACGGGUGAGUAACACGUGGGCAACCUGCCUGUAAGACUGGGAUAACUCCGGGAAACCGGAGCUAAUACCGGAUACUAUGUCAAACCGCAUGGUUUGACAUUCAAAGACGGUUUCGGCUGUCACUUACAGAUGGGCCCGCGGCGCAUUAGCUAGUUGGUGAGGUAAUGGCUCACCAAGGCGACGAUGCGUAGCCGACCUGAGAGGGUGAUCGGCCACACUGGGACUGAGACACGGCCCAGACUCCUACGGGAGGCAGCAGUAGGGAAUCUUCCGCAAUGGACGAAAGUCUGACGGAGCAACGCCGCGUGAGUGAUGAAGGUUUUCGGAUCGUAAAACUCUGUUGUCAGGGAAGAACAAGUGCCGGAGUAACUGCCGGCGCCUUGACGGUACCUGACCAGAAAGCCACGGCUAACUACGUGCCAGCAGCCGCGGUAAU